ACCCUUUGUGACAUACCUAUAACUGUUGCUUCGGCGGGUAGGGUCUCCGCGACCCUCCCGGCCUCCCGCCUCCGGGCGGGUCGGCGCCCGCCGGAGGAUAACCAAACUCUGAUUUAACGACGUUUCUUCUGAGUGGUACAAGCAAAUAAUCAAAACUUUUAACAACGGAUCUCUUGGUUCUGGCAUCGAUGAAGAACGCAGCGAAAUGCGAUAAGUAAUGUGAAUUGCAGAAUUCAGUGAAUCAUCGAAUCUUUGAACGCACAUUGCGCCCGCCAGCAUUCUGGCGGGCAUGCCUGUUCGAGCGUCAUUUCAACCCUCAAGCUCUGCUUGGUGUUGGGGCCCUACAGCUGAUGUAGGCCCUCAAAGGUAGUGGCGGACCCUCCCGGAGCCUCCUUUGCGUAGUAACUUUACGUCUCGCACUGGGAUCCGGAGGGACUCUUGCCGUAAAACCCCCCAAUUUUCCAAAGGUUGACCUCGGAUCAGGUAGGAAUACCCGCUGAACUUAAGCAUAUCAAUAAGCGGAGGAA
RNAcentral lists this ribosomal RNA (527 nucleotides) under fungal sp. SNB-LAP1-7-13. RNAcentral's name for it is "eukaryotic LSU rRNA". The stretch from base 154 to 307 matches the Rfam family "5.8S ribosomal RNA". Lineage: Eukaryota; Fungi. The record is from RNAcentral.